AGGGUAAUGAUGGAAUUGGCAGACAUAAAUAGUUUAGGUCUAUUGGAUUUUUAGAAUCUUAUCCGUUCAAGUCGGAUUUACCUUA
This 85-nucleotide transfer RNA is filed under the name Ilyonectria sp. RNAcentral describes it as "tRNA-Leu". The record is from RNAcentral. Lineage: Eukaryota; Fungi; Ascomycota; Sordariomycetes; Hypocreales; Nectriaceae.